AUAGUAUAAAUAAUUACAUUUAAUUUCGACUUAAAAAAUGAUACAUAAUCU
RNAcentral lists this transfer RNA (51 nucleotides) under Polyrhachis dives. RNAcentral's name for it is "tRNA-Arg". Lineage: Eukaryota; Metazoa; Arthropoda; Insecta; Hymenoptera; Formicidae. The record is from RNAcentral.